AUUGGCAUUCCUCACAGAGCGAGAAGCUGAUGACCCUCUUCGCUAUGUAUCCUUCCAGGUGGUAGAGGACACAAGACUCGGUCUUUGUGAGGUCAGGUGGUGAUGGAUCUACCAGCUGCUCCACUCUCACAACCUCAGAAGCACUGCAGUUGCUGUUCUUGUUGUCCAAGAAGUCCGCCAAGUGGUCUGAUGCAUCAUCCAGAUCUUGCUGGACCAGCAGUAUCGUUGUUGUGGCCAUCACAGGUUUCAGUGGAGCGCCCCCCCCCCCCCCC
Molecule: long non-coding RNA, 272 nt
Organism: Fundulus heteroclitus (mummichog)
Lineage: Eukaryota; Metazoa; Chordata; Actinopteri; Cyprinodontiformes; Fundulidae
Exons: 2
Source: RefSeq, a predicted model, not a curated record